UUAUGGCCAUAUCACGUUGAAGCACUAAAUUCCGUACGAUCACCGAAAUUAAGCAACGUCGAGACUGGUCAGUACGGAGAUGGGUGAGCGCCUAGGAAUACCAAGUACUGUAAG
This is a non-coding RNA of Acanthosepion pharaonis, 114 nucleotides long. The record is from the annotation of a GenBank genome assembly. Lineage: Eukaryota; Metazoa; Mollusca; Cephalopoda; Sepiida; Sepiidae.